CCUACGGGAGGCAGCAGUGGGGGAUAUUGGACAAUGGGGGAAACCCUGAUCCAGCGACGCCGCGUGAGUGAAGAAGUAUUUCGGUAUGUAAAGCUCUAUCAGCAGGGAAGAAAGAAAUGACGGUACCUGAGUAAGAAGCCCCGGCUAACUACGUGCCAGCAGCCGCGGGAAUACGUAUGGGGCAAGCGUUAUCCGGAAUUACUGGGUGUAAAGGGAGCGUAGGCGGUAAUGCAAGUCUGGAGUGAAAGGGGGGGGCCCAACCCCCGGUCUGCUCUGGAAACUGGGUAACUGGAGUGCAGGAGAGGCAGGCGGAAUUCGUGGUGUAGCGGUGAAAUGCGUAGAUAUUAGGAGGAACACCAGUGGCGAAGGCGGCCUGCUGGACUGUAACUGACGUUGAGGCUCGAAAGCGUGGGGAGCAAACAGGAUUAGAUACCCUAGUAGUC
This 443-nucleotide ribosomal RNA is filed under the name uncultured bacterium. RNAcentral describes it as "partial 16S ribosomal RNA". It matches the Rfam family "Bacterial small subunit ribosomal RNA", at positions 338 to 795 of the family's 1533-position model. The record is from RNAcentral.